Ribosomal RNA from Plasmodium vivax (malaria parasite P. vivax), 121 nucleotides. RefSeq annotates it as 5.8S ribosomal RNA. The transcript has a single exon. The record is from RefSeq and is a predicted model, not a curated record. Lineage: Eukaryota; Apicomplexa; Aconoidasida; Haemosporida; Plasmodiidae. The annotation marks the transcript as partial.
UAGCGCAAUCUUAACGAUGGAUGUCUUGGUUCCUACAGCGAUGAAGGCCGCAGCGAAACGCGAUAGGCAAUGAUAAUUGCAGUGACUGUGAAUCAUCGGACUGCUGAAUGUAAACUACACC